This 492-nucleotide ribosomal RNA is filed under the name uncultured bacterium. RNAcentral describes it as "partial 16S ribosomal RNA". It matches the Rfam family "Bacterial small subunit ribosomal RNA", at positions 29 to 507 of the family's 1533-position model. The record is from RNAcentral.
AGUGAACGCUGGCGGUAGGCCUAACACAUGCAAGUCGAACGGCAGCACAGUAAGAGCUUGCUCUUACGGGUGGCGAGUGGCGGACGGGUGAGGAAUACAUCGGAAUCUACUUUUUCGUGGGGGAUAACGUAGGGAAACUUACGCUAAUACCGCAUACGACCUACGGGCGAAAGCAGGGGAUCUUCGGACCUUGCGCGAUUCAAUGAGCCGAUGUCGGAUUAGCUAGUUGGCGGGGUAAAGGCCCACCAAGGCGACGAUCCGUAGCUGGUCUGAGAGGAUGAUCAGCCACACUGGAACUGAGACACGGUCCAGACUCCUACGGGAGGCAGCAGUGGGGAAUAUUAGACAAUGGGCGAAAGCCUGAUCCAGCCAUACCGCGUGGGUGAAGAAGGCCUUCGGGUUGUAAAGCCCUUUUGUUGGGAAAGAAAAGCAGCAGGUUAAUACCCCGCUGUUCUGACGGUACCCAAAGAAUAAGCACCGGCUAACUUCGUG